This 253-nucleotide ribosomal RNA is filed under the name uncultured bacterium. Its description in RNAcentral is "partial 16S ribosomal RNA". It matches the Rfam family "Bacterial small subunit ribosomal RNA", at positions 524 to 776 of the family's 1533-position model. The record is from RNAcentral.
UACAGAGGCCUCAAGCGUUGUUCGGAUUCAUUGGGCGUAAAGGGUGCGUAGGUGGCAUGGUAAGUUGAAGGUGAAAUCUCGGAGCUCAACUCCGAAACUGCCUUCAAUACUGCUGUGCUCGAGGACUGUAGAGGAGAUUGGAAUUUACGGUGUAGCAGUGAAAUGCGUAGAUAUCGUAAGGAAGACCAGUGGCGAAGGCGAAUCUCUGGACAGUUACUGACACUGAGGCACGAAGGCCAGGGGAGCAAACGGG